CGGUACGUUUUUUUUUGUUUUUUUAUAUUUUUUAUAUUUUAAAUUUUAAUUAUUUUUUUAAACAUUUUUUUUUGCAGUGGUUCGAAGACGAGGUGCAGAUGGUAGGAUUCCAGUCCUCACGUUAGACCGGGGUGCAUCUUCAUCUGCAGCGGAGCCGGCUGGAUAUCCAGGAGGGCCGUACGAUACGUCUCUUUUGGUGAAGUACGAGCAUCAUGUUGCUCGACAUUUAUGGUUCGGUGAGGUAAGUAAACG
This 252-nucleotide long non-coding RNA is filed under the name Lathyrus oleraceus (garden pea). RNAcentral describes it as "Pisum sativum (pea) long non-coding RNA (PSAT_LNC031397)". The record is from RNAcentral. Lineage: Eukaryota; Viridiplantae; Streptophyta; Magnoliopsida; Fabales; Fabaceae.